RNAcentral lists this Y RNA (109 nucleotides) under Cebus imitator (Panamanian white-faced capuchin). RNAcentral's name for it is "Y RNA (ENSCCAG00000001420.1)". It matches the Rfam family "Y RNA". Rfam says of the family: Y RNAs are components of the Ro ribonucleoprotein particle (Ro RNP), in association with Ro60 and La proteins. The Y RNAs and Ro60 and La proteins are well conserved, but the function of the Ro RNP is not known. Lineage: Eukaryota; Metazoa; Chordata; Mammalia; Primates; Cebidae. The record is from Rfam by way of RNAcentral.
GGCUGGUCCAAAGGCAGCUAGUUAUCUCGGUUGAUUGUUCACAGUUAUGGAUCAAACUCUUUGUUAAACUCUUUCCCUUCUUCUCAUUACUGUGCUUGACCAGUCUAAA